CCUACGGGUGGCUGCAGUGAGGAAUAUUGGUCAAUGGGCGGAAGCCUGAACCAGCCAAGUAGCGUGCAGGAUGACGGCCCUACGGGUUGUAAACUGCUUUUAUAAAGGAAUAAAGUGAGGCACGUGUGCCUUUUUGUAUGUACUUUAUGAAUAAGGAUCGGCUAACUCCGUGCCAGCAGCCGCGGUAAUACGGAGGCUCCGAGCGUUAUCCGGAUUUAUUGGGUUUAAAGGGAGCGUAGAUGGGUUGUUAAGUCAGUUGUGAAAGUUUGCGGCUCAACCGUAAAAUUGCAAUUGAUACUGGCAGCCUUGAGUACAGUUGAGGUAGGUGGAAUUCGUGGUGUAGCGGUGAAAUGCUUAGAUAUCACGAAGAACUCCGAUUGCGAAGGCAGCUUACUAAACUGCCACUGACAUUGAUGCUCGAAAGUGUGGGUAUCAAACAGGAUUAGAUACCCCUGUAGUC
This 460-nucleotide ribosomal RNA is filed under the name uncultured bacterium. Its description in RNAcentral is "partial 16S ribosomal RNA". It matches the Rfam family "Bacterial small subunit ribosomal RNA", at positions 338 to 795 of the family's 1533-position model. The record is from RNAcentral.